AGAGUUUGAUCCUGGCUCAGGAUGAACGCUAGCGGCAGGCCUAACACAUGCAAGUCGAGGGGCAGCGAAUCUAGCUUGCUAGAUGUCGGCGACCGGCGCACGGGUGCGCACCGCGUAUGGAACCUACCUUUUACAGGGGAAUAGCCCAGGGAAACUUGGAUUAAUGCCCCGUAGUACCCCCUGUAGCAUUGCAGGGCGGUUAAAGGCUUCGGCCGGUAUAAGAUGGCCAUGCGUCCCAUUAGCUGGUUGGUGAGGUAACGGCUCACCAAAGCUACGAUGGGUAGGGGCCCUGAGAGGGGGAUCCCCCACACUGGUACUGAGACACGGACCAGACUCCUACGGGAGGCAGCAGUGAGGAAUAUUGGACAAUGGAGGAGACUCUGAUCCAGCCAUGCCGCGUGCAGGAAGAAUGCCCUAUGGGUAGUAAACUGCUUUUAUACGGGAAGAAAGAGGGCUACGUGUAGCCUGUUGACGGUACCGUAAGAAUAAGGACCGGCUAACUCCGUGCCAGCAGCCGCGGUAAUACGGAGGGUCCGAGCGUUAUCCGGAAUUAUUGGGUUUAAAGGGUCCGUAGGCGGGCAGCUAAGUCAGUGGUGAAAGUUUGCAGCUCAACUGUAAAAUUGCCUUUGAUACUGGUUGUCUUGAGUUAUGGUGAAGUUGCCGGAAUAUGUAGUGUAGCGGUGAAAUGCAUAGAUAUUACAUAGAACACCGAUUGCGAAGGCAGGUGACUAACCGUAUACUGACGCUGAUGGACGAAAGCGUGGGGAGCGAACAGGAUUAGAUACCCUGGUAGUCCACGCCGUAAACGAUGGAUACUAGCUGUCCGGUCCCUUGAGGUCUGGGCGGCCAAGCGAAAGUGAUAAGUAUCCCACCUGGGGAGUACGUUCGCAAGAAUGAAACUCAAAGGAAUUGACGGGGGCCCGCACAAGCGGUGGAGCAUGUGGUUUAAUUCGAUGAUACGCGAGGAACCUUACCAGGGCUUAAAUGCAUAUUGACAGGGCCAGAGAUGGCUUUUUCCUUCGGGCAAUUUGCAAGGUGCUGCAUGGUUGUCGUCAGCUCGUGCCGUGAGGUGUCAGGUUAAGUCCUAUAACGAGCGCAACCCCUGCCGUUAGUUGCCAGCAUGUAAAGAUGGGGACUCUAACGGGACUGCCGGUGCAAACCGCGAGGAAGGUGGGGAUGACGUCAAAUCAUCACGGCCCUUACGUCCUGGGCCACACACGUGCUACAAUGGCCGGUACAGAGAGCAGCCAUGCCGCAAGGCAGAGCGAAUCUAUAAAACCGGUCACAGUUCGGAUCGGGGUCUGCAACUCGACCCCGUGAAGCUGGAAUCGCUAGUAAUCGGAUAUCAGCCAUGAUCCGGUGAAUACGUUCCCGGGCCUUGUACACACCGCCCGUCAAGCCAUGGAAGCCGGGAGUGCCUGAAGUCCGUCACCGCAAGGAGCGGCCUAGGGCAAGAUCGGUAACUAGGGCUAAGUCGGAACAAGGUA
RNAcentral lists this ribosomal RNA (1487 nucleotides) under metagenome. RNAcentral's name for it is "bacterial SSU rRNA". It matches the Rfam family "Bacterial small subunit ribosomal RNA". The record is from RNAcentral.